AACGAACGCUGGCGGCAUGCCUAAUACAUGCAAGUCGAACGAGAUCUUCGGAUCUAGUGGCGCACGGGUGCGUAACGCGUGGGAAUCUGCCCUUGGGUUCGGAAUAACUUCUGGAAACGGAAGCUAAUACCGGAUGAUGACCUAAGUCCAAAGAUUUAUCGCCCAAGGAUGAGCCCGCGUAGGAUUAGGUAGUUGGUGAGGUAAAGGCUCACCAAGCCGACGAUCCUUAGCUGGUCUGAGAGGAUGAUCAGCCACACUGGGACUGAGACACGGCCCAGACUCCUACGGGAGGAAGCAGUAGGGAAUAUUGGAAAAUGGGAGAAAGCCUGAUCCAGCAAUGCCGCGUGAGUGAUGAAGGACUUAGGGUUGUAAAGCUAUUUUACGCGGGAUGAUAAUGACAGUACCGGGAGAAUAAGCUCCGGCUAACUACGUG
RNAcentral lists this ribosomal RNA (433 nucleotides) under uncultured bacterium. RNAcentral's name for it is "partial 16S ribosomal RNA". It matches the Rfam family "Bacterial small subunit ribosomal RNA", at positions 29 to 507 of the family's 1533-position model. The record is from RNAcentral.